Molecule: ribosomal RNA, 254 nt
Filed under: uncultured bacterium
Lineage: Bacteria
Description: partial 16S ribosomal RNA
Rfam family: Bacterial small subunit ribosomal RNA
Source: RNAcentral
UACGGGGGGGGGCAAGCGUUGUUCGGAAUUACUGGGCGUAAAGGGCUCGUAGGCGGCCAACUAAGUCAGACGUGAAAUCCCUCGGCUUAACCGGGGAACUGCGUCUGAUACUGGAUGGCUUGAGGUUGGGAGAGGGAUGCGGAAUUCCAGGUGUAGCGGUGAAAUGCGUAGAUAUCUGGAGGAACACCGGUGGCGAAGGCGGCAUCCUGGACCAAUUCUGACGCUGAGGAGCGAAAGCCAGGGAGCAAAGCGGG